Molecule: non-coding RNA, 369 nt
Organism: Podarcis muralis (Common wall lizard)
Lineage: Eukaryota; Metazoa; Chordata; Lepidosauria; Squamata; Lacertidae
Source: RefSeq, a predicted model, not a curated record
AAGUCCUUUUUCAUUCUCCGCUUGCAAGCUGAAACAACAUUCUGCAGCAUUCAUGCAUGUCCUUGCCCCUUGUUUUCUGCCAACAGAAACCACCACCACAACUCCGACCACCACCAGCACCACCCAUGAACCUACAACCGCUUCAGAUCAUGUGUCGCUUGCACCCUGGGCCCUUUCCCUGAUUGUUCUGGGCUGUAUUGGUGCAGGCAUGGCGAUCGUUGGAACAGCUUUAACAGUCUGCUACUGUCUGAAAAUGAGAAGAUCUCAACAGCAGAACACAUGUGGGUCAGGAGGAAGCUAUGUUCCACAUGCUAUGCCGUGCGGGAAAUUUUGAGAAGCCACGCAAUGGAGAUGGUAUAAUCAGAUGGG